Molecule: transfer RNA, 72 nt
Filed under: Perkinsus olseni
Lineage: Eukaryota; Perkinsozoa; Perkinsida; Perkinsidae
Description: tRNA-Pro
Rfam family: tRNA
About the family: Transfer RNA (tRNA) molecules are approximately 80 nucleotides in length.
Source: RNAcentral
GGCUGUGUGGUCUAGUGGUAUGAUUCUCGUUUAGGGUGCGAGAGGUCCCGAGUUCAAUUCUCGGCACAGCCC